Molecule: transfer RNA, 82 nt
Filed under: Actinomadura geliboluensis
Lineage: Bacteria; Bacillati; Actinomycetota; Actinomycetes; Streptosporangiales; Thermomonosporaceae
Description: tRNA-Arg
Source: RNAcentral
GCAUCCGGAAUAAUUGGCCGACAGCUUUGACCUCGGACUUCUAAUCCGACGGUCGCGGGUUCGAAUCCUGCCGGGCGCGCCA